AAUGGAAAUUUAGGGUUCCAGGCUAUGGCGAGGCUGAGCACUGGCGUUACCACGCGCCAGUACGCUGAACGUAUGCCGCGCAUCUCCGAUACUCCUCUCUCAGCUCGGAUUCUGGAUUAGGGACUGCAGUGCCGCCGCUACAGCACAGGCGAUUUCCAUCCAGAGCGCGGAGGCUUCUUGAUUGUCGAAAUGCGGCAGCCUGUGCUGCUCAAGAGCAACGAUUUCCGCUGGAAUUUUCCCAAGGAAAUCGUUGUGGCGUAUCCAAUUCAUCCCUCGCAACAUCUUCCAGCCAGGAGAACGAAAUUCCUACGGAGCCUGGAGUACUGUGGUUUGCGAUCAUCGGAAUAUGCAGGUAGAUAGAUACCUUUUAAUGAUUUCUAGAACUUGAGAUCUAGACGAUUGCAUCGAAGAGUUUGGCAACCAGUAAAGUUCCUCGACUUUGGUUCCAGCCGGAGCUAUACGGAAUGUAAAGAAAAUGGUGAAGAGCGCAAGAAAAAAGUCAUACACUCUUGCCGUCGGGAAGCCAAAUCCUGCAAAGCUUGCAAACAUUCCUGAGGUAACUCUCUUGGAGUAGUGUGAUGUGUUUGUCCUUGUAGCAUGUCCACCGGCGUUAGAGUUCUUUGAUCUUGAAAACUGGGAACUCCGGCAGUAUUGGAGGAAAAAGACGCACAAUGUUACUCGCUCGACUCUAAGGAGAGAAACCAGGCUAUCCUAUGGCUGCAAUUUAUAGAAAUUCGCUGUGUUGUUGGAAACAUUGCUCGCUUGCAGGCGAUUGAUCUCAGCUCGCGUGGUGCGAGGUGAGACGCAAACCUGGCAGGAACGGUGGCCACUUUGAAAGCUCCCAUGCAUGCCGAUGAUCCACUUUUCUCUUUCACGAUUUGCUACUUGACCAGUGUACUCACGUACUUGGACAAGGUGCUACCUUCGAAGGAGUUUUGACAACGUCUUGACAAGUCAUUGCCGUGCGUUCUCAACUCUAGGUGUGUCGCGCGCUAUACCAAUCAUUCGAGAGGGACCCGAAGCGGCAGAGCAUGGGGAUUGGGAGUUGAUGAGCUCCGACCAGAUUGAAGGAUCCAUUGACCUCUUCCUCUAGGUGCACGCAUGGGUCAUGCUCUUCUUGGUCCUGUCUAUCAUGCCGUCCAGGAAUCCAUCGAUUUAGCUUGGCAUCAUGUUCUAAAGAGGAAAAUAUUAUUCGCGAUCAUGGUGGGAUUUCCUGUGUGGAGGAGACCAUUGUGACACGAUCAAGGCUAAGAUUAGAAUUGCUUGGGAUUGUAGCUUGAAAUCGGGCCUUGUAUGGGGAGAACAACAAAAAAUAAAAGCAUUUGCACUCACGAA
Molecule: RNA transcript, 1335 nt
Organism: Selaginella moellendorffii
Lineage: Eukaryota; Viridiplantae; Streptophyta; Lycopodiopsida; Selaginellales; Selaginellaceae
Exons: 7
Source: RefSeq, a predicted model, not a curated record